UAAAGAAUAAUCAAGGUUGGCUGGGUUCAAUCAGAUGGACAGCCUUGAAGGUCUGAAUCUUAAGCAAAUGUUGCUCUCACUCCCCACGGCGUUUGGUGUGGCAUUGUUUCUCAGGAUGUGACUUCACAAGGAAUUUGGAGUCUCUGUGGAUGUUCUGCAUUUUCAUCAUCAAAUGACUGGUUGGCUAUUUUUGUCAAACAAGAAGCCUGAAACCAUCCAGUCUGAGUGUGGAGACAGUCUGCCCGCUCUGUCAACAGGAUGAAAAGGCCUUUGAUUGACAUUCAGGCAAGGGGAGGACCUCUUUGAGUUUCACCAGUAACAGCAUACUCAGAACUCACUUAUCCAGUCCAAGGGAUGCAGGGAACUUGACUGCAGCAUGGCCAGAGGCUGAUAUGCUUUCUCCCUUAGCAUGAUACCAUGCUCAGAACUUAGGGAAAGGAAAGUGUUGAUUGGCUAGUGGAGGAUGAAGAAAGAACAAAUGAAAAAUCAUGCAACUGCCAUUUCCCAGAGGGAGCUUGGAACCCCAGAAAGAAGCCUAAUAGUGUGCUGUCUCCUUCGCCAUCUGUGUGCAGGUGAGAGCGCCACAACAGGGGGCUGCGAGCAAAUGUAAAAAUCAAAAUCUGGGAUUUUACAGGAACAAUGAUGAUUUGAUAUUUGCACAGCAACCCUCUUUUGGGAAAUGAAAAGCAAUUCCUUUGGUGUUUGCUAUCUGUUCCUUGGGGUGUUUGUGCGCGUGCGCGCCUGCACGUGCGCAUGUGCGCUUAUUUGGAGCUGCUUAUGCUCCAGUUUCUUCAAGCAUAUUUAAUAUCUUUAAAUUUUAAAUGAAAAUGUAGCUGUCAAUUUUAAACUAAUUUGGAUGGACAGCAGUAAAAUGCAAACCUCAUUUCAAAUUAGAAUUUUCAGUGAGGAUUUCUAAUGGAAAGUAAUUGCUGACAAUAGGAAAUGACAAAUUACUAAUUACUUAGUUCAAUUAGACUUUUGUGCCUUUGGUCCUAAGUGGCAAGCAUACAGCAAAUCUUGCACUUUUAUAACAAUUAAUGACACUAAAACUAUUUAAACUGCCAACAGAUGUGAGUAAGAAGACAUGAAUUGAAACUUAUUUAAUUUACAUACUAUCCCUAUUUUAUAUCAAGUAAAUGGUGUUUAAUUUUUAUGCUACAAUUAAAUAUUACUACUACAGUGCAAUUUUUAACAGAACUUUAUAGGGCAAAAUAUCACUGUUGAAAAGCUGGGCAGAGUUAAUGCUCUCUUUUCUCUUAUCACAGCAGUAUUUCUCUUCAAAACAUUCUUAGAGUAUGAAUUUUUUUAUGUGCUGUAUUCGUGGCUAUACAUUAUCAUUAAGUAAACAACAGCACUUUGCUUUUAAUUAUUUCCUCUUUCCAUAUUUUUCUAUGCUAUUCUGUCCAUAUUUAAUAUCCUAAUAGUCUAUUUAAAAUCCAUGCAGUAUCUACUUCCUUUCCUUCCCAAAAGAUUAAUUCAGGUGUGGUUUUAGGAAGGUUUCUGUUUAAAAUUUCAGUUCCAUUAACUAUCUCCGUCUUGUUAACUUCUGGCUGUAGCCCAGAGUGAAUGAAUUUCAUUUGAUAUAGUGCUAUUCCUGUUGGUAAUUUUGAUUUUACACAUAUGGAAUUUUUGUAAUGUUUCUAAUUAUAAUCACAAAGACCUUUUUUUUUCUCAGUAGGUCAGCAGCUCAGUAGUCUACUGCAGAUGCAUUCAGAAUGAAAAAAGAAAGGCAAAAAAUCCAAUUAUGUUGUUAAUGAUCAAUUUUGCUAGUAAGACUUUGAAUAUAUUUAUUUUAAAAAAAUGUGUUUAAAAAGCAUUUACCUGUAAAAUGAAAAAAUAAUGAUGUUUAUCAGUGCAAAAGCAAAUUUACCUAGCAUCUUGUGCCUGCACAAUAAGGAGAAUACUUUUAGGCAACUAAAUAAGCUGUGAAAACAAACGUUAGAGGGUAUCAUAGAAAAACAAAACACUGUUACCAUUAAAGACUUAAAAAUUAUUGCAUAUCUCAGCAUAGUAGUGGUUUAGUAUGGAAACCCAAACUUCCCAUCAUACGCCAAAAUCUCCUCAGGGAAUUGUUUAGCCCAUGUAAUUCUCCACAUGGCAGUAAAGUUCACGCAGCAGAAUUUGAUCACCCUCUUAGUGUUUGGGGUAAAACUGCAAACAUACCAUUCACAAUUAAAUGUAUUUUUCCUGUACUUAGCACACACAGAUUAAAAUGGCAUCAUUUUGUCCCUUAUUACUAUUGGGAAAUAUAAUUGGAUGAACAGAAGCUUUUUGGUUUGAUUCCACUAUAAACAAGGGGAAAAUGUAAAUAUAUCUGUUUUAUCACUUGGAGUCAGGAAUGGGGACAAAUUUGGAACCAAAAGAUUUGACAGUAAACAGAUUACAAGUGCUUUCUCAAGGAUUUUUUUUUUUUUGACUUACGCAAUUAAACUAUUUAGAAGCAGUAUGAUAAAUGAGAUCCAAAUAUCCAAGGGUAGUUUUUGGGCAAACCUCUGUUGUUUCACCACAGCUGUAGUUUUCUUUUCUCAUGAGCCCUGUGAACUUUAAGGGCUAGAAAUAUAACAGAGAGCGUACUAGAUAAUAGAAGGAAAAGGAAAAGCUUAGGCAGGGGGUAGGAGGCCUGGGCAGGGACAGACGAAAGAAAGACUUUCACAAAUCACAAGAAAAAUGGCACUGGCAUUGUGCCUAAAAAAAGAUAAUGUGGAAAAGAGGCAAGAGAAAGAUAGACUUAGCAAGUAUAUUUAGAGCAAGAAUGAUAGGAUGAAGAAGUGGCCUAAUUAGGAGAGUGGGAUAAGGAGAGAGGGGGAGAUGGAAUAGGAGCAAGGGUAAAAGAAAUGUCAGGAAAAAGAGAGAGACAAACCAGAAACAAAUGUGAGAGAAUUAACAAAACCUCUGAAGCACAGGAGACAUCCUUCCUGGUGUCACAUACAGCUUGAGAUUAGAACGCUCCAGUUGAUGCAAGCAGUGUAGGAAUGAAUGAUUCCUUUCCCAGUUUCUGUCAUUAUUAUUGAGUCUCAGACACCAUAAAAUGUCACUUUGGUGAAUUAAGCUCCUUCAUGGUAGUUAUCUAUAGAAUUGAAAGGUAUUUACUACCUCAGUUAUGACAGAUCACCAUAUUUACUUCUACAAAAUUUGUGUUAUGAACCUGGGUUACACAUGCCCUGUGUCCAGUGAAAGUUUUAGGGAAAUUUUCAAGCUCUAAAAAUUUGGAUCACUUUCUUUUUGAAAUAUGUGAGCAU
Long non-coding RNA from Ochotona princeps (American pika), 3239 nucleotides. RefSeq lists it as uncharacterized. The transcript has 5 exons. The record is from RefSeq and is a predicted model, not a curated record. Lineage: Eukaryota; Metazoa; Chordata; Mammalia; Lagomorpha; Ochotonidae.